Molecule: small RNA, 100 nt
Filed under: Pan troglodytes (chimpanzee)
Lineage: Eukaryota; Metazoa; Chordata; Mammalia; Primates; Hominidae
Also listed under: 1 other name
Description: processed transcript
Source: RNAcentral
GGUGACUACGUGGGUCUGGAGCUGACUGCCGUCCUGACACGUCCUAGAGCUGCAAGCAGGUUCUGCUGGGACAGGCUGCUUCUGCAGGAGGUGGCCUCGA